CCUACGGGUGGCAGCAGUCGAGAAUCAUUCACAAUGGGGGAAACCCUGAUGGUGCGACGCCGCGUGGGGGAAUGAAGGUCUUCGGAUUGUAAACCCCUGUCAUGUGGGAGCAAAUUAAAAAGAUAGUACCACAAGAGGAAGAGACGGCUAACUCUGUGCCAGCAGCCGCGGUAAUACAGAGGUCUCAAGCGUAGUUCGGAAUCACUGGGCGUAAAGCGUGCGUAGGCUGUUUCGUAAGUCGUGUGUGAAAGGCGCGAGCUCAACCCGCGGACGGCACAUGAUAAUGCGAGACUAGAGUGAUGGAGGGGGGACCGGAAUUCUCGGUGUAGCAGUGAAAUGCGUAGAUAUCGAGAGGAACACUCGUGGCGAAGGCGAGUUCCUGGACAUUAACUGACGCUGAGGCACGAAGGCCAGGGGAGCGAAAGGGAUUAGAUACCCCAGUAGUC
Molecule: ribosomal RNA, 446 nt
Filed under: uncultured bacterium
Lineage: Bacteria
Description: partial 16S ribosomal RNA
Rfam family: Bacterial small subunit ribosomal RNA
Source: RNAcentral